Molecule: long non-coding RNA, 5706 nt
Organism: Eriocheir sinensis (Chinese mitten crab)
Lineage: Eukaryota; Metazoa; Arthropoda; Malacostraca; Decapoda; Varunidae
Exons: 2
Source: RefSeq, a predicted model, not a curated record
AUGAAACAGCAUAUACUCUGUAUAAAUACAGACAAAUAGUUUUAAUUUAGAAAUCUCAAAAGACAUACAGACUGAUAUGAAUAUCUUAUGUACAAUAAUAUUAAACUUAAUUUAAAAUCUUACAAUGCAAAAUGUUCUUGCAGGAUGGGAUGUAUACUAGCGAUGUAUACUGGGGCCCGGGGCCUCCCCUGGGGUGGGGGGCAGCCCCGGGCCCCGGGGUGGUGGGGUCUACCUAUCUUGUGACUGUAAGUAUAAGUAGAUAAGUAGAUAAGGGCGUAAAAUGCUCAAUAGAUAAAUGCCAUACUGACCCUUACUGAUCACACAGAAGAGGAAACUUGGCAAUUGGCACAACGAUCUUGGGCAGACCAGACACGCGAGACGAGGGUCCCCAGCGUCCACCAGGCCUCCUCCUCCUCCUCCUCCUCCUCCUCAGCGACACUCUAUGGCUUCGUCUUCAUCGUACUCGAGGGAAAAAGGAAGAAGGAAAAGAAUCAUCUUCUCACUAGUACGCAAGCGGGGAGUAAAUGUUAAGUCGAGGGUUGGUUUCUUCCUAUCUAGAAUACAGAUUUACAUCACAUGAGGAGAGUCCGGGCCGCCUCUCUCCGAUCCUCCCUCCUCCUCCUCCUCCUGGCGAGUUCCUCCUCCGUCACCGCCUCGCCAGCUCUGUACAACGUUGCUUCACUCGCUUCGCUCUCCCUCCUCCCGCGCGCAGGGGGGUGAGGAGCGCCACUUUGCUCCGCUAGGUGGCGUCCCUCUGACCCCCUGCACACUGCCUCACACGCCCGCACACGAGUUCGUCUUCCUUGGAAUAUCAAUAUGGAAUGAAAUAUUGUCUAACAGGUUUUCUACUCAGGUUUAAACAAAAAAUCAUAACUCUAAUCAACACUUUAAAAGCUUGUGAUCAAUCCAGACUUGUUGGUGUUUGAAUACAUAACAGACACACGCGAGGGAGGAAGAUAAUCAGAAUUUUCUUUGUGUUUGUUUUCGAUAACCGGGGUCGUCGGGAAGGGACCGAUGCGUGGCUCCAUGGAGAACAAACAAACAAACAAACAAACAGGUCAACGAACAAAGAAACAAGGAAGGCACAAAAAGCCACACAGUCACAAACAAUAAACUAGCGGUCAUCAUCAUCAUCAUCAUCAUCAUCAUCAUCAUCAUCAGCUCCAACACAACAACAGUACAGUCCCGCGCUUGUCCACUCAUCGUCGCCUCAACAAGUUAUUUUUUUCUUAAGACAUACAAAAAAAAAAAAAAAAAAGGAACAGACACUGGAAUCUUACCAUAUGUAUAUAAUGUAUGUAUAGUUAUGUAUAUAUAGUAUGUAUAUAUUCCCUAGCCACCACGUCACCUACUGGGAUGCGUCACGGAGGAGGAAGUGAUCGAGACGGUACAGGAGGCGUUCGAAGCGCUUCACCCGGGGUUCGAGGCGGGUUCGGAAGGCGUUUCGGGGCCUCACACGCACUAGGGACACACGUCUCUCGACUAUCUUCUAUUCACACACACAAUAUAACCACGAUGACAGGCUGGGGGGGCGGGGGAACGCGGGGGGGUGUAGGGGGUGGAGGGGGGUGGGGGUAAGUGAUUGUCUUUGUGGGGGGAACGAAUCGCUGUUCACGGAGCCACUGAAGCAGAUUCGUGGCUCACUCGUCACUGUUCGGCUCAAGGUCACUCACAUCUUGACCUCGUGUGACCUUGCGGUGACCUCCUGACUCAAGGCGGAGGUGUGAAGCUUCGAGACAUGUACCGAAGCUUCACUGGUGCGUGUCCGAAGCAGCAGUAGCGGCGGCGGCGGUGGUGGAGGCGGCGAUGGUGGAGUCUCAUCCUCGGUUUUAAAUAUUAAGAGCGUCUCCUUGGCUCCUCCCCCCCUCCCCGACACGGCCCCGAGAGCUCUUGAUGAAUAAAUAUGAGGUGGGAAUAGGUUCUCUUAGGGACGCCGAGCCCGGGUCAGUCCACUUGGUCCUGGCGGGGGAGUCCUGGUCGGGGCCAUUCGGGAGGGGAAGUGAGUCGCUGUCCACCACUUCACGCAAGGUCGAAAGUCCCGGUACAACCCUUCGCCAGAGAGUCCGUCCGGCUUAACACUGUCCUCCCCCUGUUCAUUGUUACAACCUUUCGCGUUUUCUCGUCCAUUCGGCUUGAAAUGAUGAGAACUACAACGCGUGAGUGAUUGCUAAUUCCGUUUGUCUUCUCGUUGCUCUCUAUCUCUUUCUCUCUCUCUCACCUGGGCUCGAACGCAGGUACAGUCGGCAAAUAAAGUAUCGGAACACUCAAUGGUCGACUGAAUAGACUUUGAGCGAAACCUUAAGACAUGGUGUUGUGUUGGUUAGGUGGUAGACUCGACCCACUGUUACCUACCAACACAAAACCAUGUCUAUAGGAUUCGCGCAAAUUCUGUUCAAUCGACCCAACAAAGGUGUCGAUACUUUUUUUACCGACUGUACAUUUGUUUACUUAUCAUUUUUUCGCUUCAUUAAUCCAUCACGCCCAGAGCCGAUCAGGUAAAGGUAUUCUAAUGGACUUUUAUAAUACAUGACCGGACACUAAUUUCCCUGAUCUAUAUUAACAGGCGGGUGGUAAUUAUAAUGAGCUCAGGACUUAAUCAACGAAUCUCUCGGUGAAACGUCAUUCGCUAAGCAGAUUUCGAAAGGUGAUCAGGUAAGAGGCUAACAGAGAGUGAGAGUGAGUGAGAGGGGGCAUGGGGGAGAAGGAGGGGAGAAGGGGGGAGAAGGGGGGGGGAGAAGAGGGGAGAUGUGAGGUAUAUUUCUUCAUAUGUGGAUAAUCGAGUGCCCUUUCUUCCCUUCCCUUUAUUGUGUUGAGAAAGGGGAGAUGGGAGAAAGGGGAAAGGGUGCAGGGGAAGCAGUGAGGGUAGAAAAGAUGGAGACGUGAGAAGAUAGGGAAAAUGAUAGGAAGGGAAGGGAGGGGAAGAGGUUGAUGAGGGAAGGAGGAGGAGGAAAGACAGUGGAGACGUGACAAGGGAGAGAUGAUAAUGGGAGGGGAAGAGGUAGAUGAUAGGAGGAGGUGGGAAGGGGAAGAAGAGGGAGGGGAAGGGAGGGGAGUGUUAGGGAAGAGGUAGAUGAUGGGAGGAGGGGGAAGGGAAGAAGAGGGAUGGAGAGGGACGGGAGUGUGAGGGAGGAGGUAGAUGAUAGGAGGAGGAAGGGGAAGAAGAGGAAGGGGAAGGGAGGAGGUAGAUGAUAGGAGAAGGAAGGGGAAGAAGAGGAAGGGGAAGGGAGGAGGUAGAUAAUAGGAGGAGGAAGGGGAAGAAGAGGAAGGGAAAGGGAGGAGGUAGAUAAUAGGAGGAGGAAGGGAAAGGGAGGAGGUAGAUGACAGGAGGAGGAAGGGGAAGAAGAGGAAGGGAAAGGGAGGAGGUAGAUGAUAGGAGGAAGAAGGGGAAGAAGAGGGAGAGGAGGUAAUAACUAAACCUAUCCUCACCAAUACCAACAAUGACAAUAAAAAUGGCAAUAAUCAACAACAACAAGAACAGUGACGAUGAAGGGAGGUCAAUAAUAGAAAGAUGAUAAUGGUAGCGAUCAGAAGAGGUCAGUCUAGAACCGCUGACUCAAGGGAACAGACCACAGACCGCUUAGACGACACACCUGGCCCGGGUCUAAUUAAGGUCCAUUUGGGUUACCUGUAUAAUGGUCUCAAGAUUGACUUAACGUUUAAAGCUCGUUCACCUUCGUUCUAAUUCCUCGUUCAGCCUUUUUCCUUCGUUCAACAGUACGAAUUCACAAGAUCAACAGCUUAACUAUAAUACAACGUCUCAUUAACACUAUCAUCUGCAAAAUAUGACGGACUACAUCAUUAUAAAUUAGCUAACAUAAGAACAACAGUUGACUUGACGUAAUAAUAAUAAUAAUAAUAAUAAUAAUAAUAAUAAUAAUAAUAAUAAUAUCUUCGGCCAAUCACGACGCGAGUUUAACAUCGUAAUUACGUCACCGGCUUAGGUUUUAAUGACGUCACAAGUUCGCUUUUUUCAGCCUUACAAGAAUCACCGGUUUUGUGUUUUUGGCUCACCAAUUAACGUCGAACUAAAGAACAAUGGACUACUUAAGGAGUAAACAGUAUCAUCGUCAUCAUCCUCUCUCGUUCCCUCUCUCCAACGGGAUCACAAACACGAACACAACAUAAACAAACACUUCCACCAAUCGCGUCAAUUCUGUUUCUCGUCUUCUGGAUCUGUUGUUUCUUUGAUGCCCGACUCAAGAACAGGUCAAAAACGCGUUCCCUCAAUCACAUACACGUACAAAACAUGAAUGAAACAGACAACGGACAGGAGCCUCCACGCGCAAUUUCCACACAAUUAUGAAGCAAGAUAAAAACAUUAACGAUUGAAUAAACAGGGAAAAAACAAAACAUGACAAGACAUACCCAACAAAAUAAAAGCGCAUUGAAAUUAAAGUUACGAGACAAAAUUCCAGGAGUAAAAAAAAACACUGAAUUUGAAUUAGUAAAAAAACAAAAACAAACAAAAAAAAGCAAUUGGAGACCGUAUGCAAAAUGAGUCAAAUUGUGAAAUCAAAGGACAAAUGACCCAAUUAUCUUCAGGUAAACAAGAGGAAAGGGGGGGAGGGAGGGAGAGGAGGGGGAGGAGGAGGGAAAGGUAGGAGAGAGGGGAAGAGAAGAGGGUGUAUGAAGAGGAGGAGGAGGAAAUGGAAGGGGGGAAGAUAGGGGUAUGAGAGAUGGAAGAAGGGUGGAGGAAGAGGAAGAGGAGGAAGGAGAGAAGGGGGAAUGAAGGAAGGAGUGAAUGAGGAGGAGGAGGAGGAGGAGGAUAAAGGGAGAACAGACGUAACAAAGAGGAGGAGGAGGAGUGAAAGGAGGAGGAGGAGGAGGAGGAGGAGGAGGAAACAAGGAGGGGCUGGGGCGGUGGGGGGAGGGGGGGGGGGUCACGCCUUUCAUUUUAACUCAUAAUGGAAAACGCAAGUGGGCUAACUCAGGCUUGUGGUCUCAUCCAUAAACAGAGACUGGACGAGAUACAGCGAGGGAGGGGGGUGGAGAGUGCGUGGGAGAGAAAGAGAGGGAGAGGAAGUGAGAUGACCUGUUGUACUGUUUCUCUCGUUCAUUUCACUACAUCUCUCUCUCUCUCUCUCUCUCUCUCUCUCUCUCUCAAGCAUAGUGGUAGUAGCAUGACUUAAGGAAGCUCGUAUAUAAAUCAUCUCCUCUUCCUCUUGUCCUCUCCCCUCUUCUUCCUCUUCCUCUUCCUCCUCCUCGUACAAUUAUACCAUUAUUUCCUUCACUCUUCACAACCAAAAUAUUGAAGGCAUUUUGAUCUCCGCCUGAUGACUAUCCUUUUGAGGGAGGCAUAAUUUCUCUCUUCCUGGGAGAGGGAGAGAAAGGAGAGAGGGAGGGAGGAAAGCGGGGUGGAAGAGGAGGAUGAGUAGGAGAAAGUUGGGAUGGGAGGGGAAGAAAGGAAAGGAAGGGUUGGUGGGGUGGAGUGAGGGAGGAAAGAAGGUAUUAGGGAGGAAAGAAAGGAGGAAAGAAAGAAAGGAGGAAAGAAGGGAGGAAAGAAAGCUAUAGAAAGGAAGAAAAGUUAAGAAGAGAAAGGAAGAUGGUGAAAGAGGAAGAGAAAGGAGGAAAACCGAGAAAAGAAGAGAAAAUGAAGAAGGGAAAGAAGAGAAAGGGAAAGAUGAGGAAGGAGUAGAGAAAGAAAAAGAGAGAUAAAAGAAACGAGGAAGGAGAGAGAAAGGGUGAGAGAGGAGAAGGAGGAAGGAG